This 5688-nucleotide long non-coding RNA is filed under the name Olea europaea (common olive). Its description in RNAcentral is "long non-coding RNA (OEUR_LNC007951)". Lineage: Eukaryota; Viridiplantae; Streptophyta; Magnoliopsida; Lamiales; Oleaceae. The record is from RNAcentral.
UCUGCAUUUUCGACGCCGUCAAGAAAAUGGCGGAACUCGGGGCAAAUGCAUACACUUCCUGCAUAUGCUGCAUCGACAUGAGUCCAGAUUCUGAACUCUUUCGCAACUUCACAGAGAGGAAUCAGUGCAUCAACGGAGGCUGAAGAGGUGGUUCCGAUGGUGGCGCAGAAGAAUAAUGGGACAAGCCCAGCUUCGAUGUCGGCCUCAAUUGUUGAUCGGAGUGCCUCGGCGGUGAGUCCAAAUCCAUUGGCCUUUGUAGUCGAUACUGCUCGGAAAUUGUUGGGGUUGAUACCUGCGAUUUGAGCUGCCUUUUGCAAUGCAGAGUGGGUUUGAUCAGAUCCAUAGACCACAAGUUUGUUGAUAUUCUCUCUGCCGAUCUUCUUCAACAUCUGAUCCCUGGCGGCCACCAUCGUGCUCAAUAUGGCCUCGCAGGUAGUUCCCUGCAAAACUCCACCGCCGCCGCCGGAAAACAGGAAUUCAUUGGGAAGCUUUAGCAUUUUCCCCAGCCAGUCCAUCACGAUACUCUCCAGCUCCGUCGCCGCCGGCGACGACAUCCAGUUGAAACCCGCAACAUUGAAUCCAGUGCAAAGCAUUUCCCCAAGAAAUCCUGCAGUGCUUCCAGUGCAAGGAAAAUAAGCAUAGUAAUUUGGACUCAUCCAAUGUGUAAUACCUGGAAUAAUGUCUUUCUGUACAUCUCCCAGAAUUUCUUCAAGCGGUUCCGGUUCACAGGGUGCAGAUUCUGGCAACCGUUGCCGGAGAUACCCCGGUUGGACUUGGCUUCGGACAGGAUAUUUCUCAAUAUUUUUGUAAUAAUCAGCGAGGAAAUCAAUGACCAUAUGGCCUUGCUUUCGGAAUUCUUCAGGGUCUAGAGGCUUAAUGGUUUCAUUUUCAAGUUUAUGGACCUGGUUCUGAAUGCUUUCCAUUUUGGAUAGCUAUAAGUGAAUAAAGUAGCUUUUUAGAAGAAGAUCUUGAGACUUGUUGAGUUUUUGGAAAGAACAGUUCACAAAUGAGCACACAUAUAUAGAGUAGGCAUGGACAGAAGGGACAUAUCUGCUUAGUAGAGUAGAUGGGCGCGUUCAAUUAUUUUAUCAAUAAAGCUAUUUGUACGACAUAUGUGCCUCGCAGGUGCCCCUCCAAUAGGUGGCGUCACAUGUCUUCAACCUUGUUCCCAAGUCCGGACAGAGAGUUUUACUCAUUUGUACAAAGUGAGAUUAUAAAAGUUGAAUUACAAAUUUUGUUGACAAAAUUUAGGCUAUUGAUUUGAAAUAAUUUAAAAAUCUAUUUUGAAAUGAUUGGUAUGGAUAUUAUUUUGUCAACCAACUUUAUAAUCCACCUUUAUAAGUGUAGCACAGCCCUUAUUUUAUAGAUAAUCACUUUUUUUGCCCCCUAUUGAGCCAUUUUUUUUUAAGAAUGUACUUUUUUUUAAAAUUUAUUUUUAAUCACACAUUUUUUCAUAAAAUAAUUAUACAUGUAUUUUAGGAAAAAAAUUUCUUUAUUUUUUAACCACAUAAUCUACAAAAAAUCACUGUUCCAUAAUGCAUUUUAUUCCAAAAAUGGGAUCAAAUGGGAGUUUAUCUAAUUUCGCCACACUUCUAUCAUGGUUGACAACUUUGUUUACAUUCUUUGACAGGACACACAAUUUUACCAUUAAUUAUAAAAACACUUGUUCAAAUCAAUAUCUUCGAUUUUGACACCUCAAAGGGUGUCAAACUAGUUGCACACUAGCUUAAUUUUUUUAUCCAAUGUUGCUUGUUUUUCUUGUAAGUUCCGUACAUUUUAAAAUUUUUUUUUCCAAACUCAUUCAUAAUUUUUUUUAUACUUUUCAAUUACACAUUUUUUACGUGCAAAAUCACAUUAAAUUAAUUAAUAAGUUGUAAAACCACGUGUAUAAAUAAUUUCAUUCAAAUUGGGUCAAGAAUUUCCUUUUUCUUUUGCAUGAAUAUAAAGAAAUGAUAAUAAUUGGGAUAUGUGCUAAUCUUUGUCCAAUUUAUAGUAGACGUAGUUGAAAGUACAUGUGUAUAAUAUCAUAUGAUCCUUACACAGAGCAUUUCCUUACAGAAAUCUUACCGACCUCUCAUUGUAAGGGUGAAUCCCACAAAAAAAAAAAAAAAAAAAAAAAAAAAAUUAUGCCGAGGCCCACGCAUGUGUUAUAUUUGGCAGGGGUAUGUAAAAUAGACUCCUGUACAUGCAGGAUGCUCCAAUAUCAUAUAGCUGUAUAAGACCCCGUAUUAUUUAUUAAUUCAAUGGAUUUUUUGUACAAAAAUAAUAGAAAAAAAUUAAUGGAUACGCCAAAAAUAAUUAAUGGAUGUAUGAUGCAUCAAGCAGCACAAUGUGUAGACGUUUAAUGAAAAAAUUUCAUAUAGAUUUAUUAUCGAAAUAUAAAUUAAAAUAUAAGAACUUGGACUAUUCUUUUCACGAGGUUGAUCAUUUAGAUGAAAUCUUAAAUCUUAAUGUAAACUAGAUAAAUUUGCAGCAAGGUCCAAAACUAUUCAAAGAUAUGCUACGUGGUUUCAAAUCUUUCAAAAAUGUAUAGCACGAUCCCAAACCUUUAAAUUUUUGAAGUUAUGUUCCAACAUUUUCAAUAAAUGCGUGCUCGUCGGAUUUAUGGACGGAUUCGGUCCAAAUUAAGAACCACAAAAAUAAUUUUAUAUUUCUUGCCUGAAAUAAUUUAAUAAAAAGAACAAAAUGAUAACUUUAUAUUUUUUACCUGAAUGAAAUAAUUCAAUUAAAAAAAUAAAAAUAAAAAUAAAAAAGAAAAAAAAUAAUUGUAAUAAAAAAUAUAAUUCUUCACGUCCCUCAACCACCAAAACCUCAGCCCCCUCACCCAACCGCAGCUUCAAUCAGACUCCAUUGCUCUCUGAUUUUUAUUUUUAUUUAUUUUUUUUCAUUUCCCCAUUUCUCAUUUCUCUCUCUACAUUACAUUGUUGUGCUUUUUUGAUGAAGAAUGUUGUGGUAUUUCUUUUCUUUUUCUUUUGUUUUUCUUUUGUAAUUUUUUAGAUGAGAAUAUAUUGAGUUAUAAUUUUACACUUUCUAAAAAUUGUCAAAUGCAACCUUAUGUUAAAUAAUGACCCUUGUACAGAAUCCAUCCUGAGAUCCUUCAGGCGCAUAUUCAUUGAAAGAUUUGAAAUGCAAUUGAUACGAUUUAAAGUUUUAAAACUGCACUCCACAUUUUAAAAAUUUUAGGAACCUACACUGCAAAAUUCCUAUAAAGUCAGUAACGAUAUAGUACUAAGACACAUGAUAUAACUGCUAACGGUAUAAACUAACUUGAACCAAUAUAGUGAAUCAAUUCAAAGGGAAGAAAAGAAAAGAGGAGUAGAAGAAGAAAGAGAGAAAACAAUAAUUUAUUGAGCCACCAAAAAAAUUAGGUUUCUAAUGAAAAUACUAAUUUUAUAUAAAAAAAAGAAAAAAAAAAGGGAAACCUAUAAAAGAAGGAAAUUAAAUAUGCAAUAAUAUUAUAUUUUGGCUAACAUAUAUUAUAUAUAGCUAACAUCUUUGUGAGAGUUCUGAAUAGUACUGUAAGCCUGCUCAAGAUCUAUAUUUGAAGGAUGAAAUUUUUUGUUUCUUUGAUUUCCUUGAAAUUCUUUGAUUACAGAUCAAGAUGAAUACGGGAUUUUUCUUUGAUUUUCUUGGAAUUCUUCGAUUACGGAUCAAGAUGAAUUAAUAUCUAUCUAAGUAUACUUGAGAUACCUAUUCGAUCGUGACUUCAUGUACCAACACUAGAAAGACAAAAUCAAAUUUUUACGCGCCUUAUCCCUAGCUAUAUAGAUAAUAUCUAAUUCUAAAUUGUCCACUCUAUUAUUAUUAUUAUUAUUAUUAUUAUUAUUAUUAUUAUUAUUAUUAUUAUUAUUAUUAUUAUUAUUAUUAUUAUUCAACGUGCACCAAACUGAAGGAAUUUUCAUUUUCAAUAUAUAAUUGUUAAACAUUCUGAAUAUAAAUUUUGGAAGAGUAAGUGUAAUUUAUUUAGCACUAAUUGUAUUUGUUACUAGUCUAGGUGGCACAUUAUAUUUAAACUUGUCUAAUUACGUAAAUAUUAAUUUUAAUUCAUAGAACAAGUUUAAGUAAGCUUCAGUACCAUAUAGACGAGUACGAAAUACCAGUGGUACUAAUAUAGCAUUAUACGUGUAGAGCACUAUUCCUGUUGGAGUGGGAAAAGAAAAAAUCCUUCAAAAGGGCAAAUAAAUAAUUUGGUGUAACUAUAAAUAACUUAUGCCAAAAAAAGAAAUAUUCACGAUUUAUUAAAAGCAAAUCGAACUGAUUAAAUGUUUUAUUUUUGCCUUUCUUGAUCACGACGUGUUCAAUAGGGCAUUUGCAUGGUCUUGUACAGCCUUCCAUGCCAAGUUGACGUGCCUAUUUUCUGUAAGGCUCGCACCGAUUGCGAACCGCAUCACAUAGACACCGCCGAUCACUGCAUGAGUCAUGAAUAUCUUACCGGACUCAUUGAUCGAUUCCAGUAACUUGGCGUUGAAGUUAUUGGUGGCUUCCUCCUUGGUGAUGAUCUGAUUUUUUCCGAUUUCUAUCGGCGAAAUCCUGAAACAAACAGUGGAGAAAUUUCUAGGCACGACCACCUCAAACCUCUUGUCCUUGGCGAUCAGGCCUUCAAAAAUUUUCGCCAUGUUUACGUGGCUCCUGAGGAAUUUUCUGAGAUUGUCGACGCCAUAGCUACGUAGAACGAGCCAUAAUUUAAGGGACCUGAACCUCCGGGUUAGAGUGAUUUGCCAAUCUUUAUAAUCGACGACUUGUUUAGAUUCAGAGGCUUUGUUUCUCAAGUACUCGGGAUAGGUCGAUAGAGCUUGGAUAAGGGCGCCUGGAUUUUUCACCCAAAGGCAGCAACAGUCGAGGGUGCUGAAGAACCAUUUGUGUGCGUUGAAACUGAAAGAAUCUGCAUUUUCGACGCCGUCAAGAAAAUGGCGGAACUCGGGGCAAAUGCAUACACUUCCUGCAUAUGCUGCAUCGACAUGAGUCCAGAUUCUGAACUCUUUCGCAACUUCACAGAGAGGAAUCAGUGCAUCAACGGAGGCUGAAGAGGUGGUUCCGAUGGUGGCGCAGAAGAAUAAUGGGACAAGCCCAGCUUCGAUGUCGGCCUCAAUUGUUGAUCGGAGUGCCUCGGCGGUGAGUCCAAAUCCAUUGGCCUUUGUAGUCGAUACUGCUCGGAAAUUGUUGGGGUUGAUACCUGCGAUUUGAGCUGCCUUUUGCAAUGCAGAGUGGGUUUGAUCAGAUCCAUAGACCACAAGUUUGUUGAUAUUCUCUCUGCCGAUCUUCUUCAACAUCUGAUCCCUGGCGGCCACCAUCGUGCUCAAUAUGGCCUCGCAGGUAGUUCCCUGCAAAACUCCACCGCCGCCGCCGGAAAACAGGAAUUCAUUGGGAAGCUUUAGCAUUUUCCCCAGCCAGUCCAUCACGAUACUCUCCAGCUCCGUCGCCGCCGGCGACGACAUCCAGUUGAAACCCGAUCCAUAGACCACAAGUUUGUUGAUAUUCUCUCUGCCGAUCUUCUUCAACAUCUGAUCCCUGGCGGCCACCAUCGUGCUCAAUAUGGCCUCGCAGGUAGUUCCCUGCAAAACUCCACCGCCGCCGCCGGAAAACAGGAAUUCAUUGGGAAGCUUUAGCAUUUUCCCCAGCCAGUCCAUCACGAUACUCUCCAGCUCCGUCGCCGCCGGCGACGACAUCCAGUUGAAACCCGAAACAUUG